Oncorhynchus keta (chum salmon) is the source of this 1381-nucleotide long non-coding RNA. RefSeq lists it as uncharacterized. Lineage: Eukaryota; Metazoa; Chordata; Actinopteri; Salmoniformes; Salmonidae. The record is from RefSeq and is a predicted model, not a curated record. The transcript has 3 exons.
ACCACGAUGCUGUUGUUAACUUAAUGGACAUUCGCAGGUGUUACCACGAUGCUGUUGUUAACUUAAUGGACAUUCGCAGGUGUUAACACGAUGCUGUUGUUAACUUAAUGGACAUUCGCAGGUGUUACCACGAUGCUGUUGUUAACUUAAUGGACAUUCGCAGGUGUUAACACAAUGCUGUUGUUACCACGAUGCUGUUGUUAACUUAAUGGACAUUCGCAGGUGUUACCACGAUGCUGUUGUUAACUUAAUGGACAUUCGCAGGUGUUAACACGAUGCUGUUGUUAACUUAAUGGACAUUCGCAGGUGUUACCACGAUGCUGUUGUUAACUUAAUGGACAUUCGCAGGUGUUAACACGAUGCUGUUGUUAACUUAAUGGACAUUCGCAGGUGUUAACACGAUGCUGUUGUUAACUUAAUGGACAUUCGCAGGUGUUAACACGAUGCUGUUGUUAACUUAAUGGACAUUCGCAGGUGUUAACACGAUGCUGUUGUUAACUUAAUGGACAUUCGCAGGUGUUAACACGAUGCUGUUGUUAACUUAAUGGACAUUCGCAGGUGUUACCACGAUGCUGUUGUUAACUUAAUGGACAUUCGCAGGUGUUACCACGAUGCUGUUGUUAACACGAUGCUGUUGUUAACUUAAUGGACAUUCGCAGGUGUUAACACAAUGCUGUUGUUAACACGAUGCUGUUGUUAACUUAAUGGACAUUCGCAGGUGUUAACACAAUGCUGUUGUUAACACGAUGCUGUUGUUAACUUAAUGGACAUUCGCAGGUGUUAACACAAUGCUGUUGUUAACACGAUGCUGUUGUUAACUUAAUGGACAUUCGCAGGUGUUAACACGAUGCUGUUGUUACCACGAUGCUGUUGUUAACUUAAUGGACAUUCGCAGGUGUUAACACAAUGCUGUUGUUAACUUAAUGGACAUUCGCAGGUGUUAACACGAUGCUGUGUAGACUGUGCAGACUGUGUAGACUGUGUGUUCGUGGGCAUAAAGUUUAGUUCCUCCAAGUGAACCCAUAGCGCCACCAUUUCAUUUCAAAAUGUGUGUCCAUAGAUUAUAAACCCAUUUAUUUUUAAUUGCGUUAACACGAUCCAGAGAGGCAUAACAAAUGUCCAGCGAUGUAGAUCACCACGACAACAGCUACCCAAACCCAUACUAACUAACGCUACAGUGGUGAUGUCAGUGAGAUGGUGGGUCUGUCCCAAAUGGCACCCCAUUCCCUAUGUAGUGCACUACGUUUGACUAGUGCCCAUAGGUCUCUGAUCAAAAGUAGUGUAGUAUGUAGGAAAUAGAGUGUUAUUUGGGACGCAUAAAUGGUGUGAGUGACUGUUACCAUAAUAAUAACAAGACAUGCUGCAUCCAAUCAACGCCCUG